GUGAACGCUGGCGGUAGGCCUAACACCUGCAAGUCGAACGGCAGCACAGUAAGAGCUUGCUCUUCCGGGUGGCGAGUGGCGGACGGGUGAGGAAUACAUCGGAAUCUACUUUUUCGUGGGGGAUAACGUAGGGAAACUUACGCUAAUACCGCAUACGACCUACGGGUGAAAGCAGGGGAUCUUCGGACCUUGCGCGAUUGAAUGAGCCGAUGUCGGAUUAGCUAGUUGGCGGGGUAAAGGCCCACCAAGGCGACGAUCCGUAGCUGGUCUGAGAGGAUGAUCAGCCACACUGGAACUGAGACACGGUCCAGACUCCUACGGGAGGCAGCAGUGGGGAAUAUUGGACAAUGGGCGCAAGCCUGAUCCAGCCAUACCGCGUGGGUGAAGAAGGCCUUCGGUUUGUAAAGCCCUUUUGUUGGGAAAGAAAAGCAGCAGGUUAAUACCCCGCUGUUCUGACGGUACCCAAAGAAUAAGCACCGGCUAACUUCGUG
This 491-nucleotide ribosomal RNA is filed under the name uncultured bacterium. RNAcentral's name for it is "partial 16S ribosomal RNA". It matches the Rfam family "Bacterial small subunit ribosomal RNA", at positions 29 to 507 of the family's 1533-position model. The record is from RNAcentral.